GGGGGGGGGGGGGGCGGGCAGGCGGUUUCUUAUGUCUGAUGUGAAAGCCCACCCCUCUGCCGUGGAGGGUCAUUGGAAACUGGGGAACUUGAGUGCAGAAGAGAAAAGCGGAAUUCCACGUGUAGCGGUGAAAUGCGUAGAGAUGUGGAGGAACACCAGUGGCGAAGGCGGCUUUUUGGUCUGUAACUGACGCUGAGGCGCGAAAGCGUGGGGAGCAAACAGGAUUAGAUACCCUGGUAGUCCACGCCGUAAACGAUGAGUGCUAAGUGUUAGAGGGUUUCCGCCCUUUAGUGCUGCAACUAACGCAUUAAGCACUCCGCCUGGGGAGUACGGUCGCAAGACUGAAA
Molecule: ribosomal RNA, 347 nt
Filed under: Priestia megaterium
Lineage: Bacteria; Bacillati; Bacillota; Bacilli; Caryophanales; Bacillaceae
Description: Bacillus megaterium partial 16S ribosomal RNA
Rfam family: Bacterial small subunit ribosomal RNA
Source: RNAcentral